This 494-nucleotide ribosomal RNA is filed under the name uncultured bacterium. Its description in RNAcentral is "partial 16S ribosomal RNA". It matches the Rfam family "Bacterial small subunit ribosomal RNA", at positions 28 to 507 of the family's 1533-position model. The record is from RNAcentral.
GACGAACGCUGGCGGCGUGCCUAAUACAUGCAAGUCGAGCGGACUUAAAAAGCUUGCUUUUUAAGUUAGCGGCGGACGGGUGAGUAACACGUGGGCAACCUGCCUGUAAGACUGGGAUAACUUCGGGAAACCGGAGCUAAUACCGGAUAAUCCUUUUCUACUCAUGUAGAAAAGCUGAAAGACGGUUUACGCUGUCACUUACAGAUGGGCCCGCGGCGCAUUAGCUAGUUGGUGAGGUAACGGCUCACCAAGGCGACGAUGCGUAGCCGACCUGAGAGGGUGAUCGGCCACACUGGGACUGAGACACGGCCCAGACCCCUACGGGAGGCAGCAGUAGGGAAUCUUCCGCAAUGGACGAAAGUCUGACGGAGCAACGCCGCGUGAGUGAUGAAGGUUUUCGGAUCGUAAAACUCUGUUGUUAGGGAAGAACAAGUACGAGAGUAACUGCUCGUACCUUGACGGUACCUAACCAGAAAGCCACGGCUAACUACGUG